CGCAUCUGUGCAUGCAGCAUAUCAAUAAGCGGAGGAAAAGAAACUAACAAGGAUUCCCCUAGUAACGGCGAGUGAAGCGGGAAGAGCUCAAAUUUGAAAUCUUAAAGGGUUUCCCUUUACGAAUUGUAGUUUAAAGAAGUGUUUUCUGUUGAGGUUUUGGUAAAAGUUCUUUGGAAUAGGACAUCAUAGAGGGUGAGAAUCCCGUAUUUGACCUUUACUUUCAACUUUGUGAUACACUUUCAAAGAGUCGGAUUGUUUGGGAAUGCAGUCCAAAAUGGGUGGUAAAUUUCAUCUAAAGCUAAAUAUUGGCGAGAGACCGAUAGCGAACAAGUACCGUGAGGGAAAGAUGAAGAGAACUUUGAAAAGAGAGUUAAACAGUACGUGAAAUUGUCAAAAGGGAAGCGUUUGACACCAGUGUUGUUUUUCUGAAAAUCAAUUAAAGAACUGUUUAUGCUAAGCUGUUUAGACUUUAUCAGCUAUCUGUUUAGUUUUGAGCUUUUCUUUAAUGCACUUUUCAGUUAACAAGUCAACAUCAAUUUCUUUUGCUGUAAAAAAGCUUGAGGAAGGUGGCUUGAGAUUCGUCUUAAGUGUUUAUAGCCUCUUGCCUAUGCAGUCGGAGAGAUUGAGGUCUGCAGGCGUAGAUCCUUCGGGGCUAAAUGCAUUUGUGCUAAGUUAUAGCAUUUUAUAGACAACUUGUUGACUAUGAUUUGUCUUGUAGCUUACUCGCUUAUGUUAUUUUACCUACGCUUAGGAUGUUGAAUCUGUGCGAGACUAC
This 775-nucleotide ribosomal RNA is filed under the name uncultured Neocallimastigales. RNAcentral's name for it is "partial large subunit ribosomal RNA". It matches the Rfam family "Eukaryotic large subunit ribosomal RNA", at positions 26 to 644 of the family's 3401-position model. The record is from RNAcentral. Lineage: Eukaryota; Fungi; Neocallimastigomycota; Neocallimastigomycetes; Neocallimastigales.